RNAcentral lists this ribosomal RNA (691 nucleotides) under uncultured Pseudomonadota bacterium. Its description in RNAcentral is "bacterial SSU rRNA". It matches the Rfam family "Bacterial small subunit ribosomal RNA", at positions 74 to 746 of the family's 1533-position model. The record is from RNAcentral. Lineage: Bacteria; Pseudomonadati; Pseudomonadota.
GCACCUUCGGGUGUGAGUAGAGCGGCGAACGGGUGCNCUAACACGNGAGUAAUCUGCCUCAGGGUCGGGGAUAACCACCCGAAAGGGUGUUGUAAUACCGGAUACGAUCCCUUCCUCGCAGGGGGAGGGGGGGAAAGAGGGCUUCGGCUUUCGCCCUGAGAUGAGCUCGCGGCCCAUUAGCUAGUUGGUGGGGUAACGGCCUACCAAGGCAGUGAUGGGUAGCUGGUCUGAGAGGAUGAUCAGCCACACUGGGACUGAGAUACGGCCCAGACUCCUACGGGAGGCAGCAGUGGGGAAUAUUGCGCAAUGGACGAAAGUCUGACGCAGCAACGCCGCGUGGGUGACGAAGGCCUUUGGGUUGUAAAGCCCUGUCAGGAGGGAAGAACGGUCGUGUGGUGAUAACCCACAUGAAUUGACGGUACCUCCAAAGGAAGCACCGGCUAACUCCGUGCCAGCAGCCGCGGUAAUACGGGGGGUGCAAGCGUUGUUCGGAAUCACUGGGCGUAAAGCGUGCGUAGGCGGCUGUGUAAGUCGGGUGUGAAAGCCCAGGGCUCAACCCUGGAACUGCGCUCGAAACUGCACAGCUUGAGUCCGGGAGAGGGUUGCGGAAUUACCGGUGUAGAGGUGAAAUUCGUAGAUAUCGGUAAGAACACCUGCGGCGAAGGCGGCCUACCUGGACCGAGACUGACGC